UUUUUUUUUUUUUUUUAAAUCUUUGUCUGUGCUCUUCUUUAGUGUUUCAGUUAAAAAAAAAUUUUUGGUCAAUUCAUGGGUUCUCACUACUAGAUUUGUUCGCAGAGGUUCUUUGUUUAAUCUUAACUAUUUCUAAGACGACUAGACUUCUUUUGUCUAUAUGUAGAAAAUGUGGAAAACAAGAAAAUUAGAUAGAUACAAACAAUUAAAAUGUAAGUUUAAACACGGUAAGUGAAUCCAGAAAGGAAUUCAUGAAUGCAUUUUCUUUCAGGUUGGCUUCAACUAAAGCUUGUAGAGAAAGCAAAUGAACAGAGGGCAUUGGUUGCUUCUGAAGUUAGGGAUAGUACGGAAUAAACUGGUUUUGUUAGUCCUGCAAACUGAGAAGCUCGAAGGACACGAACAAAUAGAAUGCAACAAGGAACAGAACAGACAUUCUUGCUGUGGUAGUAUCCGAAAACAGAAUAUAACAUUGGGUCUGGUUACCCGGGAGCAUGCCUGUGUAUUAAUAAUAUUUAUCAUUUUUGUUGGUCAUUUUCUUUUGUUCCUCUUCUGUCUUUUGUUCAUUUAUAACCGAUUUUAAUAAGGGAAAAUAUUAUGUUGUUAUGUACAUUUAUCUGAAUACUUUGACUCCAAAAUUUGAGGCUCGAAAUUUUGAUUUAAACAGAGCAUUACCAAUCCUAAUUUGUCAAUUUUAUGAUGGGUUUAGAUCUGUUUCUAUUAUGUCAAAAAGAAUGAUGUUAUUUGGAAUGAUUCAAUAAGUAAUUUUGUGAAUUACAAUGGAAUUUCAGGGUAUGUUAUUUCUGCAAACUUAUGUGUCGCUCGUUGGUUCGUACGAAUUGGCUCGUCAUCUAGGAGUAAAAUUUGUACUUUAAGUUAGAAACAAGAGCCUCGAGUGGCUCGCUAGUUGGCUCGCCCCACUUUGAAAACAAGGUAGCUAACAUUCGGUUCAACCUAACCUAUAGGCUAGUACAAGCUAACUCGCAUGGUAAGGUGAGUCAAGAGGUUCAUAUUCUGUCAAUUGAACAUCUUGGAUGGACGUAUCCCAUAAUUGAGAUAAAAAUGAUAGUGCAAUGACUAAUUAGAAAUAAAAUGAAGUUAUAUGAAAUUAAAUACAAAAUGAGCUACCUUCUUAAGAAUAUAUACAAUUUUCAACGAAACAAAUUUUCUUGCUCUCUAAAGGUACGCCACUUUUCAAUAUAGGCUGCUUGAUCAGGAUGAAGGCUUGGUGUUCUAUGCUGCUGAAGAAUUUGAAGAAUUUCUUGACUUUCACCCAGCAGGAGAGCUGCUUGCCGGACUGUUU
This 1300-nucleotide long non-coding RNA is filed under the name Olea europaea (common olive). Its description in RNAcentral is "long non-coding RNA (OEUR_LNC013977)". Lineage: Eukaryota; Viridiplantae; Streptophyta; Magnoliopsida; Lamiales; Oleaceae. The record is from RNAcentral.